Molecule: long non-coding RNA, 1161 nt
Filed under: Nicotiana tabacum (common tobacco)
Lineage: Eukaryota; Viridiplantae; Streptophyta; Magnoliopsida; Solanales; Solanaceae
Description: long non-coding RNA (NTAB_LNC013762)
Source: RNAcentral
UAGCUUAUCUGGAUCUGACCCUAGAGAUUUUGCAAAGAAAACUCAGGUGGGGUUUUAUGGGAAAGCAUUUUCAGCAAUUAUUUGCUUAUGUUUUUUAAUAUUUACCGAGGACAUAUACAUUAAAGUGACGAGGUCGAGAAUUAAGGUAGUAUACUAGUAAUUAGUGUUAGUCUUGUAUUUUGUUGUUGGUAGAUUUUACUACUACAUGUUUUUCCUUUGCUUCGUUUUCUUAUUAUUUUAGUGUUGUUACGCAUGUUACUGUUGCUGUUGCUGUUGCUUUCUUUUCAUCCUUUCUAGAGCUGGAAGGCAGUAGUAAGUUUUAAGCUAAAUUUCACUUGUGUGAUUAUACUGCUUGGUUAAAAUACCUACAACUCACGAAAGCAUACUGUAGUGCCAUUCAUUCAGGCUAAAAUGGAGGAUUUCUUUCUUGGUGAAGAUUGCCUGUAAUUGAGGAGUCAAUUUUUACCCCAUGGCCCAUUUUUUAUCGUCUCAUUAAACAAAUACUCCUAUUUUUUGAAUAGUCUAUGAAGGGUAAAAAUCUUACUAUGCAACUUGUCCUAUACUUAUCACUAUAUGGUCCUUGUGAAUGCAAUUAAGAUAGGUACCAAACUCACCUUAUUUUGUUGUGCAUUCAAUGUAGCUAAAUGAACUUAGAUCCCCUUUUAUUUUUUUAUUUUUUUCUCUGUUGAUCUAUAUUUGGAGGGUCAAUUUUUUUUAUUUUUUUUUAUAGUAUUUGUUUUAGAACCAUGAAAGGGAGAGUUGGCGUAACUGGUAAAGUUGCUUCCAUGUGACCAGGAGGUCACGGGUUCGAGUCGUGGAAACAGCUUCUUGCAGUAAUGCAGGUAAGACUGUGUACAAUACACGUCCGGCCUUUCCCCGGACCCCAUAUUUCCCCGGACCCCAUAUAUAACGGGAGCUUAGUGUGCCCUUUUUGUUUUUGAACCAUAUAAUGUGUCUUGUGUGCAUUUAUUGUUAUCUCACAUUGGAUUCCCUAUGUUUCAUUCUACAAUAUUAUUGGCCAUUUGCUAGUAUUAUGAUAUUUAUGUAAUCUUUGCAGAGUUAGUGGGGCAGAGGGCAUUGAAACAGGAAAAAUCUUCUUAACACCAAGAUUUUACUCUGUGGGCCUAAAGGUUGUUGAGAUAUGCAGACCCCAAAAGCAAG